GGAUUGCAGCCUGCAACUCGGCUGCAUGAAGCUGGAAUCGCUAGUAAUCGCGGAUCAGAAUGCCGCGGUGAAUACGUUCCCGGGUCUUGUACACACCGCCCGUCACACCAUGGGAGCCGGGAAUGCCCGAAGUCAGUGGCCCAACCGCAGGGAGGGAGCUGCCGAAGGUGGAGCUGGUAACUGGGGUGAAGUCGUAACAAGGUACC
Molecule: ribosomal RNA, 206 nt
Filed under: uncultured bacterium
Lineage: Bacteria
Description: partial 16S ribosomal RNA
Rfam family: Bacterial small subunit ribosomal RNA
Source: RNAcentral